GUAGAAAUGUGUUUCAAAGCCUGUUUUAAACAUUCAGAUUGAUGGAGCGGCUUUCAGAUGGUCACUGAGAGCAUUCCAUAGGGGAGGGGUACCGGAGCAGAAGGUUCGGUCCCCAAUAGUACGGACUGAGAGCAUUCCAUAGGGGAGGGGUACCGGAGCAGAAGGUUCGGUCCCCAAUAGUACGGACUGAGAGCAUUCCAUAGGGGAGGGGUACCGGAGCAGAAGGUUCGGUCCCCAAUAGUACGGACUGAGAGCAUUCCAUAGGGGAGGGGUACCGGAGCAGAAGGUUCGGUCCCCAAUAGUACGGACUGAGAGCAUUCCAUAGGGGAGGGGUACCGGAGCAGAAGGUUCGGUCCCCAAUAGUACGGACUGAGAGCAUUCCAUAGGGGAGGGGUACCGGAGCAGAAGGUUCGGUCCCCAAUAGUACGGACUGAGAGCAUUCCAUAGGGGAGGGGUACCGGAGCAGAAGGUUCGGUCCCCAAUAGUACGGACUGAGAGCAUUCCAUAGGGGAGGGGUACCGGAGCAGAAGGUUCGGUCCCCAAUAGUACGGACUGAGAGCAUUCCAUAGGGGAGGGGUA
This is a long non-coding RNA of Oncorhynchus keta (chum salmon), 579 nucleotides long. RefSeq lists it as uncharacterized. The record is from RefSeq and is a predicted model, not a curated record. The transcript is spliced from 3 exons. Lineage: Eukaryota; Metazoa; Chordata; Actinopteri; Salmoniformes; Salmonidae.